GAGUCAUUGGGACUCUUUUAAACCUAAAGGCGCAAUGAAAGUAAAGGUCCGCCCCGCGCGGACCGAGGGAGGAUGGGCCCGUCCACGGUCGGGCCCCGCACUCCCGGGGCGUCUCGUUCUCAUCGCGAGAAGAGGCGCACCCAGAGCGUACACGCUGGGACCCGAAAGAUGGUGAACUAUGCCUGGUCAGGACGAAGUCAGGGGAAACCCUGAUGGAGGUCCGUAGCGAUUCUGACGUGCAAAUCGAUCGUCGGAACUGGGUAUAGGGGCGAAAGACUAAUCGAACCUUCUAGUAGCUGGUUCCCUCCGAAGUUUCCCUCAGGAUAGCUGGCGCUCGCCUUUGCGAGUCUCAUUCGGUAAAGCGAAUGAUUAGAGGCAUUGGGGUCGAAACGGCCUCAACCUAUUCUCAAACUUUAAAUGGGUGAGAUCUCCGGCUUGCUUGAAGCGUGAAGCCGCGAGAGAUCGGAUCACAGAGUGCCAAGUGGGCCACUUUUGGUAAGCAGAACUGGCGCUGUGGGAUGAACCAAACGCCGAGUUAAAGCGCCCAAAUCGACGCUUAUGGGAUACCAUGAAAGGCGUUGGUAACUUAAGACAGCAGGACGGUGG
This 606-nucleotide ribosomal RNA is filed under the name Boletoscapter cornutus. RNAcentral's name for it is "eukaryotic LSU rRNA". It matches the Rfam family "Eukaryotic large subunit ribosomal RNA", at positions 688 to 1251 of the family's 3401-position model. Lineage: Eukaryota; Metazoa; Arthropoda; Insecta; Coleoptera; Scarabaeidae. The record is from RNAcentral.